AGAUUGAACGCUGGCGGCAUGCCUUACACAUGCAAGUCGAACGGCAGCACGGGAGCAAUCCUGGUGGCGAGUGGCGAACGGGUGAGUAAUACAUCGGAACGUGCCCAAUCGUGGGGGAUAACGCAGCGAAAGCUGUGCUAAUACCGCAUAAGAUCUACGGAUGAAAGCAGGGGAUCGCAAGACCUUGCGCGAAUGGAGCGGCCGAUGGCAGAUUAGGUAGUUGGUGAGGUAAAGGCUCACCAAGCCUUGAUCUGUAGCUGGUCUGAGAGGACGACCAGCCAACACGUGGGACUGAGACACGCCAG
RNAcentral lists this ribosomal RNA (305 nucleotides) under uncultured soil bacterium. RNAcentral's name for it is "bacterial SSU rRNA". It matches the Rfam family "Bacterial small subunit ribosomal RNA", at positions 26 to 334 of the family's 1533-position model. The record is from RNAcentral.